GACGAACCGCCCAAACGUUAUUCGGAAUUACUGGGCUUAAAGGGUGCGUAGGCGGCCCGGCAAGUCAGGUGUGAAAUCCCACGGCUCAACCGUGGAACUGCGCUUGAAACUGCUGGGCUUGAGGGAGAUAGAGGUAAGCGGAACUGAUGGUGGAGCGGUGAAAUGCAUUGAUAUCAUCAGGAACACCGGUGGCGAAGGCGUCUUACUGGGUCUCUUCUGACGCUGAGGCACGAAAGCUAGGGGAGCGAACGGGAUUAGAUACCCUGGUAGU
RNAcentral lists this ribosomal RNA (271 nucleotides) under uncultured prokaryote. RNAcentral describes it as "partial 16S ribosomal RNA". It matches the Rfam family "Bacterial small subunit ribosomal RNA", at positions 524 to 794 of the family's 1533-position model. The record is from RNAcentral.